GGCAACCUGGCCGAGUGGUCUAAGGCGCCAGGUUCAGGAGACUGAAUCAAUAUCCUGGUCUCUUCGGAGGCGAGAGUUCGAAUCUCUCGGUUGUCA
This is a transfer RNA of Yarrowia lipolytica, 96 nucleotides long. It matches the Rfam family "tRNA". Rfam says of the family: Transfer RNA (tRNA) molecules are approximately 80 nucleotides in length. Their secondary structure includes four short double-helical elements and three loops (D, anti-codon, and T loops). Lineage: Eukaryota; Fungi; Ascomycota; Dipodascomycetes; Dipodascales. The record is from Rfam.